Molecule: ribosomal RNA, 798 nt
Filed under: uncultured Porphyromonadaceae bacterium
Lineage: Bacteria; Pseudomonadati; Bacteroidota; Bacteroidia; Bacteroidales; Porphyromonadaceae
Description: bacterial SSU rRNA
Rfam family: Bacterial small subunit ribosomal RNA
Source: RNAcentral
AGAGUUUGAUUCUGGCUCAGGAUGAACGCUAGCGAUAGGCCUAACACAUGCAAGUCGAGGGGCAGCACAUGAAGUAGCAAUACGGAUGGUGGCGACCGGCGCACGGGUGAGUAACGUGUAUGCAACCUGCCUACAACAGGGGAAUAACCCGUUGAAAGACGGACUAAUACCCCAUAACACAGGGAUCCCGCAUGGGAAUAUUUGCUAAAGAUUUAUCGGUUGUAGAUGGGCAUGCGUUCCAUUAGCUUGUUGGUGAGGUAACGGCUCACCAAGGCAACGAUGGAUAGGGGAACUGAGAGGUUUAUCCCCCACACUGGUACUGAGACACGGACCAGACUCCUACGGGAGGCAGCAGUGAGGAAUAUUGGUCAAUGGACGCAAGUCUGAGCCAGCCACGUCGCGUGAAGGAAGACGGCCCUACGGGUUGUAAACUUCUUUUGUAAGGGAAUAAAGUGUAGUACGUGUACUAUUUUGCAUGUACCUUACGAAUAAGGAUCGGCUAACUCCGUGCCAGCAGCCGCGGUAAUACGGAGGAUCCGAGCGUUAUCCGGAUUUAUUGGGUUUAAAGGGUGCGCAGGCGGGAGAUUAAGUCGGCGGUGAAAUUUUGCAGCUCAACUGUAAAAGUGCCUUCGAAACUGGUUUCCUUGAGUGUGGAUGAAGUAGGCGGAAUUUGUGGUGUAGCGGUGAAAUGCAUAGAUAUCACGAGGAACUCCGAUUGCGCAGGCAGCUUACUAAACCAUAACUGACGCUCAGGCACGAAGGCGUGGGGAUCAAACAGGAUUAGAUACCCUGGUAGUC